This is a long non-coding RNA of Lycium ferocissimum, 880 nucleotides long. RefSeq lists it as uncharacterized. The transcript has 2 exons. NCBI's taxonomy places the organism in Eukaryota, Viridiplantae, Streptophyta, Magnoliopsida, Solanales, Solanaceae. The record is from RefSeq and is a predicted model, not a curated record.
UCAUGCAUCAUGAUAUACAAAUAUGAUGAAGUGUAAUAGAAUAUUAUUUCAUGUGUAAGUAGCAAGUAGUUAGUAGCCUAAGUUAGUUAGCUAAUACACGUGGUAGUUAGUUGACAGGCUGUUAAUAGAAGUUAGUUAAGCAACCAACUGAAGCAAUGGUGCAGUAGUGGUGAUCCAUGAUCAUGUGGCAGCUAUAUACAACUGUCAUAUACACGCCUCCUUACUCCUCUAUAUAUACAUGAGAGGGUGCAGAAUUGCAUGUAUAAUAUAGAUAUUUUUCCUUCACAAUCAAUGAAAGUUUUCUUCUCUCUAGAAUAAGCUCUCAUGCUUUCAAUAUUUGAGUAACUGCUUUGUAGUAUAUUUCAUGUAUACUGUGUGUAUAUUGCAGAUGAAUGUUGUUAGUGAAUGUUGUUAGAUUCAUAAUUUGAUACUAUUGCUUCUGAAUCACCUUAUCUUAAAGCAGCUGCUUUAGUUGAUCUUGGAUGGACAUUAAUUUAAUGUGAAGUAGUAGAUACAGUACAGAGUUUGAGAGGCUGGGAGGUUAAAUUUUUAUUUUUUUUUAAUUUUUAUUGUAGAGCUUGUAGUGUGAACUAUACUGUGUACUUGGAUUACUAUUAGUUUGGUUGAAGCAGCAGACGCUACUGACGAGUUUUCAUCAAAGGUUCAUCUUUUGUAAUUGUUGUUGUAUUCAUAUGUUUUGUUAUAUUAGUGCACAGAUGAGGAGCAUUAUCUUAUUACUUGUUGAACCCCCAAAAAUUCAUUUUGUACUGUUCUUUGAGUUUCUACUGUGAGCAAAGUGUAAGUGUAGUAGCAAUUCCUUAUGUAUUAAAUGCAUUUCUCAAACGUUUUUGUAUUAUUAGAUUCCUUUGUACUUGUUCUA